GUUUGAUCAUGUCUCAGAUUGAACGCUGGCGGCAGGCCUAACACAUGCAAGUCGAGCGCGAAAGGUCUUCGGACUGAGUAGAGCGGCGGACGGGUGAGUAACGCGUAGGAAUCUACCUGGUAGUGGGGGACAACUCGGGGAAACUCGAGCUAAUACCGCAUACGCCCUACGGGGGAAAGGUGGCCUCUAUUUAUAAGCUAUCGCUAUUGGAUGAGCCUGCGUUGGAUUAGCUAGUUGGUAGGGUAAGAGCCUACCAAGGCGACGAUCCAUAGCUGGUCUGAGAGGAUGAUCAGCCACACUGGGACUGAGACACGGCCCAGACUCCUACGGGAGGCAGCAGUGGGGAAUAUUGCACAAUGGGCGCAAGCCUGAUGCAGCGACGCCGCGUGGGGGAUGACGGCCUUCGGGUUGUAAACCGCUUUCGCCUGUGACGAAGCGUGAGUGACGGUAAUGGGUAAAGAAGCACCGGCUAACUACGUGCCAGCAGCCGCGGUAAUACGUAGGGUGCGAGCGUUGUCCGGAAUUACUGGGCGUAAAGGGCUCGUAGGUGGUUGAUCGCGUCGGAAGUGUAAUCUUGGGGCUUAACCCUGAGCGUGCUUUCGAUACGGGUUGACUUGAGGAAGGUAGGGGAGAAUGGAAUUCCUGGUGGAGCGGUGGAAUGCGCAGAUAUCAGGAGGAACACC
Molecule: ribosomal RNA, 683 nt
Filed under: Leptocylindrus danicus
Lineage: Eukaryota; Bacillariophyta; Leptocylindrophyceae; Leptocylindrales; Leptocylindraceae
Description: partial Bacterial small subunit ribosomal RNA
Rfam family: Bacterial small subunit ribosomal RNA
Source: RNAcentral